RNAcentral lists this long non-coding RNA (267 nucleotides) under Elaeis guineensis (African oil palm). RNAcentral describes it as "long non-coding RNA (EGUI_LNC081061)". Lineage: Eukaryota; Viridiplantae; Streptophyta; Magnoliopsida; Arecales; Arecaceae. The record is from RNAcentral.
CUUUUUCAAAAAAAAAUAUCGAACAACUUUUGUUCUUUGGCAUGGUAGAAAUUUUUUUCCCUAGAUUCUUUGAGAUUAUCCUACAAAAUAAUACAUAUAGGAUCGGGAUCCAAGCUAAUCAAUCUAUAAAUGCUCGACAUAAAUUGAAUACUUCCAAAUCCUAAGGUAAGAAAGUAUCGGCUUACGCCUAGUCCAUACCUCAUAUGGAGUCAUUGUGACUGAUUAAUUCAAAAUUCAGCUUAGAACAUAACAAGUAGUCUCAAGAGC